RNAcentral lists this ribosomal RNA (701 nucleotides) under uncultured Burkholderiaceae bacterium. RNAcentral's name for it is "bacterial SSU rRNA". It matches the Rfam family "Bacterial small subunit ribosomal RNA", at positions 56 to 752 of the family's 1533-position model. Lineage: Bacteria; Pseudomonadati; Pseudomonadota; Betaproteobacteria; Burkholderiales; Burkholderiaceae. The record is from RNAcentral.
UGCAGUCGAACGGCAGCACGGGUGCUUGCACCUGGUGGCGAGUGGCGUACGGGUGAGUAAUAUAUCAGAACGUACCUUAUCGUGGGGGAUAACGCAGCAAAAGCUGCGCUAAUACCGCAUACGCCCUGAGGGGGAAAGCGGGGGACCGUAGGGCCUCGCGCGAUUAGAGCGGCCGAUAUCUGAUUAUCUUGUUGGUGGGGUAAAAGCCCACCAGGGCGACUAUCAGUAUCUGGUCUGAGAGGACUAUCACCCACACUGGGACUGACACACGGCCCACACUCCUACGGGAGGCAGCAGUGGGGAAUUUUGGACAAUGGGGGCAACCCUGAUCCAGCAAUGCCGCGUGAGUGAAGAAGGCCUUCGGGUUGUAAAGCUCUUUUGUCAGGAAAGAAACAGCAUCUCUAACACACUCUGCAAAUGACGGUACCUGAAAAAUAAGCACCGGCUAACUACGUGCCAGCACCCGCGGUAAUACAUAGGGUGCAAGCGUUAAUCAGAAUUACUGGGCGUAAAGCGUGCGCACGCGGUUAUACAACACAGGCGUGAAAUCCCCGGGCUUAACCUGAGAAUGGCGUCUGUGACUGUAUGACUAGAGUGUGUCAGAGGGGGGUAGAAUUCCACGUGUAACAGUGAAAUGCGUAUAUAUGUAGAGGAAUACCAAUGGCGAACGCAGCCCCCUGAGAUAACACUGACUCUCAUGC